CUAAGUUUGAUGGCGACCGGCGCACGGGUGAGUAACACGUGUCCAACCUGCCGAUGACUCGGGGAUAGCCUUUCGAAAGAAAGAUUAAUACCCGAUGGCAUAGUUCUUCCGCAUGGUAGAACUAUUAAAGAAUUUCGGUCAUCGAUGGGGAUGCGUUCCAUUAGGUUGUUGGCGGGGUAACGGCCCACCAAGCCUUCGAUGGAUAGGGGUUCUGAGAGGAAGGUCCCCCACAUUGGAACUGAGACACGGUCCAAACUCCUACGGGAGGCAGCAUG
RNAcentral lists this ribosomal RNA (275 nucleotides) under uncultured bacterium. RNAcentral's name for it is "partial 16S ribosomal RNA". It matches the Rfam family "Bacterial small subunit ribosomal RNA", at positions 79 to 353 of the family's 1533-position model. The record is from RNAcentral.